This 111-nucleotide non-coding RNA is filed under the name Burkholderiales bacterium. RNAcentral's name for it is "Glycine sequence". It matches the Rfam family "Glycine riboswitch aptamer". Rfam says of the family: This family represents the bacterial glycine riboswitch. Glycine riboswitches usually consist of two metabolite-binding aptamers domains with similar structures in tandem. The record is from RNAcentral. Lineage: Bacteria; Pseudomonadati; Pseudomonadota; Betaproteobacteria; Burkholderiales.
GCCGGAUUGUCAGGAGAGAGCCUUCGCCCCGAGCGAGGCCGCCGAAGGCGCAGGACCCCACAACGUGAGUUGACGGCCCGAACGCUCAGGCAAAAGGACUGGCAGACAUGG